Molecule: long non-coding RNA, 419 nt
Organism: Oppia nitens
Lineage: Eukaryota; Metazoa; Arthropoda; Arachnida; Sarcoptiformes; Oppiidae
Exons: 3
Source: RefSeq, a predicted model, not a curated record
GAUUGUCAAUUAUUAAUGUUAUUUAAAAAAAACAAUAUCAAAAUUAAAAAAUCAUACUUUCUAUUCAUAUCUUAAAAAAAACUAAAAAAUAAAAUGAAUCGCUUUAUAGUAUUGUUUGCAAUGGCCGUCAUUAGCGUUGCCAUAUUAUCAAGUAAAGUUAAGGCUUACUAUACUCCGGAACAACAAAAGGCAAUGGAUGAAGAAUAAUAAAAUCUUAAUAAUAAUACAGUAUAGUAAUAAGUAAAGUUAAAGUUAUACUAUACACCUCAACAAAUGCAUGAUAUGGAUGAUCCUAACCUUAGUUAAACUGAAUAUAAUUUAUAACUAUCUAUAAUAAGAAAUUAUAUAUGCUAGAAUUUAUAAUUUAAAAAAAAUAUUUUAUUAUAUAAAAAAUUUUAAUUAUUAUUUUUAUUAUUAAA